CCAUUAUAAUGCCAAAGAUAGCAUAAAACAACCAUAUAAUUUCAUUGGUUCACGGACCAUAAUACACUAAUUCUACAAAAGAAUUCAGAUUUAACACUGUACAAUUUCAGAGAUUAAACUUAGCACAAUUUCAACUUAACACUGCACGAUUUCAGAAAUUAGCAAUCAAUUAAUUUUACAGUUUGGACUGAACGAAAAUUAAACAAAACACACA
RNAcentral lists this long non-coding RNA (214 nucleotides) under Salvia miltiorrhiza (redroot sage). Its description in RNAcentral is "long non-coding RNA (SMIL_LNC013039)". Lineage: Eukaryota; Viridiplantae; Streptophyta; Magnoliopsida; Lamiales; Lamiaceae. The record is from RNAcentral.